This 494-nucleotide ribosomal RNA is filed under the name Blautia massiliensis (ex Durand et al. 2017). Its description in RNAcentral is "bacterial SSU rRNA". It matches the Rfam family "Bacterial small subunit ribosomal RNA", at positions 1033 to 1527 of the family's 1533-position model. The record is from RNAcentral. Lineage: Bacteria; Bacillati; Bacillota; Clostridia; Lachnospirales; Lachnospiraceae.
GACAGGUGGUGCAUGGUUGUCGUCAGCUCGUGUCGUGAGAUGUUGGGUUAAGUCCCGCAACGAGCGCAACCCCUAUCCUCAGUAGCCAGCAUAUAAGAUGGGCACUCUGGGGAGACUGCCAGGGAUAACCUGGAGGAAGGCGGGGAUGACGUCAAAUCAUCAUGCCCCUUAUGAUUUGGGCUACACACGUGCUACAAUGGCGUAAACAAAGGGAAGCGAACCUGCGAGGGUGGGCAAAUCCCAAAAAUAACGUCCCAGUUCGGACUGUAGUCUGCAACCCGACUACACGAAGCUGGAAUCGCUAGUAAUCGCGGAUCAGAAUGCCGCGGUGAAUACGUUCCCGGGUCUUGUACACACCGCCCGUCACACCAUGGGAGUCAGUAACGCCCGAAGUCAGUGACCUAACCGCAAGGAAGGAGCUGCCGAAGGCGGGACCGAUGACUGGGGUGAAGUCGUAACAAGGUAGCCGUAUCGGAAGGUGCGGCUGGAUCACC